CUGGGAGUGCUCAUGCGCAGAGGAAAGGCCGUAGGAGGAUGCUAUAAAAAGGCUGUUGUCUGCAAGCCAAGGGGUGAGGCCUCGGGAGAAACCAAGCCUGUUGACACCACGAUCUUGGACUUCCACCCCUUCAGAACCGAAAAAUGUUAUCACUGUUGUUUUCCACCAUCUUUACUAAUGUGAGUGCAUUGAUUUCAUCAAAGAUGCAAGCUUAAUAUUCACACCAGACUUAUUGCCUUUGGAGGAAGUCCUGAGACUUAGGAACUGACUAAAAACCUCU
Molecule: long non-coding RNA, 280 nt
Filed under: Homo sapiens (human)
Lineage: Eukaryota; Metazoa; Chordata; Mammalia; Primates; Hominidae
Description: HSALNT0374352
Source: RNAcentral